ACACAAUUUAUUCCGCAUGUGGUCAAAGGAACCAGUCGGUGGCGCUUCAGCGCAACAUGUACAAAUAUGAUAUGUCUACAGCAGCCAGAUGGAUAAUUCAUUAAUAACGAGCACAUGGGGUCGCUCUGACUAAAACAGCAUACAUGGAGGAUUUCAAAAGGCUUGCGCAUUAAAGAGGCUCACUGUUCCACCGCGUAUUAUUGACUUUUUCCCUUCGUCCACUUUUGCGCAAAGGGAGAAUGUUGUAAGCGGUCCCUGUGGAUAUACUGUGUCUUCAUGAGGAGUUGAGCGCAAAUAAGGGGGCGGGUGAUGAUAAUGUGUGAAGAGUGGCAGCAACUUCUCACUACACGGCAACAUUUUCCGUUCUUCUUCAGGCGAUAUGCCCAUUCUUUCUAAAGAAGCUCCGAGGAGGAAGGCUGGUGGUGGACAUGGUGAAAAUGACAGGUAAAAGCACACAUUCAGUAUACAGGUGAAUCUCAGGGAGGUUGAUGAGUCACCACUGGAACAGGACACACCCUAUUAACAAGUGUCAACUCCAAACAUCUCCUUGGGUUCCACAGUCAUGUGGGUGUGGGAUCCAAAAAAAGCUGGUCCACAUACAACAACCGAGAGGCAAUGUGCAAACAAAAUGUAGAAAGGCAGCAGCAACCACCCCCUCCCCCAACACUCCUUUGGUCCCCUCCAGGCUAAACUUACCCGACCUGAUUUCUGCAGCCACCGUCCAAUAUAAAAGUUGGAAAAUGCAUAGUUGAACAAGCUCCAGAGCAAAUAAGAGGUCAAUGCUAGUUGUAUCCUUGGAAAGGGUGGGAAGGUAUUGUAUAUAUAAAUAAUAUGUGCAUUCUCUUUCAUUUUAAACAUGAUUUAGUGUCACUGGUAUUUAUGCAACAGUAAGCUCUAUUUAAACAGCAUGAAACAAUUUAGGACAUUAAGAACUAAUAUGAAUGUGUGCAACCGACAGGUCUUAGCGUUUCUCAAUAUGACUGAAUGAAAGGGAGGAGGAAAGGUUAAAUAAACAACUCACUGAAAUCCCAGUCUUGGCUCUUGGCAAAUACAAUUUUUUUCUAAUUGGCAUGAUUAUAUAUUUAUGAUUCAUGUUCAGCAUGAGGGUUAUAGUAUAGAGUAUAUGCAUAACAAAAACUCAAAUGAAAAGCUCAAAUGUUUUCCAUCUUUUUAUUUUUAGAUUGCUGUUAUCCAUUAAAUGCUGUUAAAGACUUUAAAGACAAAGUCAGGUUCUGUUUUCUUCCCUCUUGAGUGGUUUUGAGAGUUUUUGGCUGUUUAUGCACAGUGAUUCGUGGUUAAUUGCCACGGCUUUCUGCAUUAUGAAAUCAGGCUUAACCUGUAUCCUGAAAAGCUUAUUCCACAGGAGAGCAAUUCACUUAUGUUUAAUAUCGCUGAUAUGUGGAGGAAUUACUUGAUGGAGGCAGGGGUUUCAUCAGGAAGCUUGCAGUGGUACCCUGGAGAGGCUGCUAGAAUGAAUGUUCCUAAUGGACAGCUGGAUCCAGACAAUUCA
Cyprinus carpio carpio is the source of this 1510-nucleotide long non-coding RNA. NCBI's taxonomy places the organism in Eukaryota, Metazoa, Chordata, Actinopteri, Cypriniformes, Cyprinidae. The record is from Ensembl.